Molecule: ribosomal RNA, 372 nt
Filed under: uncultured organism
Description: bacterial SSU rRNA
Rfam family: Bacterial small subunit ribosomal RNA
Source: RNAcentral
CGGGGGGUCCUAGCGUUGUUCGGAAUCAUUGGGCGUAAAGCGUGUGCAGGUGGCUCUGUAAGUUGGAUGUGAAAGCCCCGGGCUUAACUCGGGAAGUGCAUUCAAAACUACAGAACUUGAGUAUGGAAGAGGGUCGUGGAAUUCCAGGUGUAGUGGUGAAAUACGUAGAUAUCUGGAGGAACACCGGCGGCGAAGGCGGCGACCUGGUCCUAUACUGACACUCAUACACGAAAGCGUGGGGAUCAAACAGGAUUAGAUACCCUGGUAGUCCACGCCGUAAACGAUGGAUACUUGGUGUUGAAGGUAUUGACCCCUUCAGUGCCGGAGCUAACGCGUUAAGUAUCCCGCCUGGGGAGUACGGUCGCAAGAUUA